AUAAUUGCAUCGAACGGAGGCCGAGAAGGGCCUCAUCAGAGGCAAAAACUGAGGAGGGGCGCAGCGGCACCGCUGGGCUUCGGCUGGAUUUUUCGGCCGUUUGGCCGGUGGUUUGGCUCCGAUUUGGCCAUAGGCGAACUCAGCAUCGAAAAACGAGCAAGGGGGAGAAAAUUUACCUCGAUCGGCGGUCGAAAACAUCCCCCGGUGCGGCGGCGGGUGACGGCGGCCGGCUCCUCCGGCGUCUAGUUCUUCUUCUCCGGUGAGGCACUGGCGGAUAGGGUUUUUGUGGUCAGGUGUGGGUGGGGUUAUUUAUAACUUUUGCCUUUUAAUCUCAACCGUCCAUCAAGAUUAAAUCUGGACCGUUCGAU
RNAcentral lists this long non-coding RNA (368 nucleotides) under Carica papaya (papaya). Its description in RNAcentral is "long non-coding RNA (CPAP_LNC016551)". Lineage: Eukaryota; Viridiplantae; Streptophyta; Magnoliopsida; Brassicales; Caricaceae. The record is from RNAcentral.